AUUGAACGCUGGCGGCAUGCCUUACACAUGCAAGUCGAACGGCAGCACGGGAGCAAUCCUGGUGGCGAGUGGCGAACGGGUGAGUAAUAUAUCGGAACGUGCCCAGUCGUGGGGGAUAACGUAGCGAAAGCUACGCUAAUACCGCAUACGAUCUAUGGAUGAAAGCGGGGGAUCGCAAGACCUCGCGCGAUUGGAGCUGCCGAUAUAAGAUUAGGUAGUCGGUAGGGUAAAGGCUCACCAAGCCGACGAUCUGUAGCUGGUCUGAGAGGACGACCAGCCACACUGGAACUGAGACACGGUCCAGACACCUACGGGAGGCAGCAGUGGGGAAUUUUGGACAAUGGGCGCAAGCCUGAUCCAGCAAUGCCGCGUGCAGGAUGAAGGCCUUCGGGUUGUAAACUGCUUUUGUACGGAACGAAACGGUGAGCUCUAAUACAGUUUGCUAAUGACGGUACCGUAAGAAUAAGCACCGGCUAACUACGUGCCAGCCGCCGCAGUAA
Molecule: ribosomal RNA, 500 nt
Filed under: uncultured bacterium
Lineage: Bacteria
Description: partial 16S ribosomal RNA
Rfam family: Bacterial small subunit ribosomal RNA
Source: RNAcentral